This 254-nucleotide ribosomal RNA is filed under the name uncultured bacterium. Its description in RNAcentral is "partial 16S ribosomal RNA". It matches the Rfam family "Bacterial small subunit ribosomal RNA", at positions 524 to 776 of the family's 1533-position model. The record is from RNAcentral.
UACGGGGGGAGCAAGCGUUGUUCGGAUUUACUGGGCGUAAAGGGCGCGUAGGCGGUCAGCACAAGUCAGUUGUGAAAUCUCCGAGCUUAACUCGGAAAGGUCAACUGAUACUGUGCGACUAGAGUGCGGAAGGGGCAACUGGAAUUCUUGGUGUAGCGGUGAAAUGCGUAGAUAUCAGGAAGAACACCCGUGGCGAAAGCGGCUCUCUGGAACGGUACUGACGCUGAGACGCGAAAGCGUGGGGAGCGAACAGG